CGGCUCACUGCAAGCUCCGCCUCCCGGGUUCCCGCCAUUCUCCUGCCUCAGCCUCCUGAGUAGCCGGGACUACACGCGCCCGCCACCACGCCCGGCUAAUUUUUUGUAUUUUUAGUAGAGACGCGGUUUCACCGUGUUAGCCACUAAGGUCUUGAUCUCCUGACCUUGUGAUCCGCCCACCUCAGCCUCCCAAAGUGCUGGGAUUACAGGCGUGAGCCACCGCGCCUGGCCAGAAGCAGGAAUUAUUGAUACGGAGUGCAGGGGAGUGAAGAGCGUGGUCCCCUCAAAUGAUACCGAAGUGUGGAAGGGAAGUGCUGGGUAGAAGAGGGCGUGGUCCCUGGCUAGGGCUCCACCCCCACGGACCUGGGUGAGGAUAGGCAUUUCCUGUCCAAAUAUUGCAUUGCCCAAUAUCACCCCGGCCUGCCACACCCCCAUCCUGUGCCUAUAAACUGCCCUCAGACCUUAGCAGGCAGGCACACAAGCUGCUGGACCUGCAGAGGAGCCUAUCUGCAAACCCAGACAUCUGGACGUGGAGAGGAGCGAAUUGGUGGAGGAACACACAGGUGGCUGGAUGUUAAGAGAAGCACAUCAGCAGGCCCUGGGAUGCGGGCAGGCCACGGACCAGCAGAAGGAGAGGCUGAGUUUGGCUGGGACAGUCAGAGGAGAGCCCGGGCCAGGGAGCAGCCUGACUCCAAGGAAAAAACCAUCUCCCUUCUGGCUCCCCCGUAUGCUGAGAGCUACUUCCAGUCAAUAAAACUUUGAACUCAUUCUCCAAGACCACGUGUGAUCCGAUUCUUCCAGUACACCAAGGAAUGCAAGAGGAAAGCAUCCUAAGGAGGAGGAUUUGGCGGGACCUAACAAGACCACAGUGCAUUGACCCUUUGGCCCAGCAAUGUCACUUCUAGGACUUCAUCUUGAAAAUCCACCUCCAGAAAUGCAAAGCAUCAUAGGCAGAAGAUCAUUCACUGUGGCUUCAUACGUAAUAGCACAAUAUUACAAAAAAUAAAAAUGCUGAUUUGUAGAAGAUUGGUUAAAUAAAUUAUGAUAUAUCAGCGCUGUUUUUUUACAAAAGGAAUGAGGAAUAUCUGUAUUCAUUGAUAUGUAGUGACUUUGAGGAUAUACUAUUUAAAUUAAAAAC
Molecule: long non-coding RNA, 1138 nt
Filed under: Homo sapiens (human)
Lineage: Eukaryota; Metazoa; Chordata; Mammalia; Primates; Hominidae
Description: HSALNT0305676
Source: RNAcentral